GAUGUCAAGCCUUAGAGCUUCAUACGAGUUUUCAGUUUGAAAUCUUCAUUUUUGCGAACAGUUUGUUUCUUCCUCAAUAUCCAGUAAAACUCUGAGUUUUCUUUUAAAUUAUUGUCCUUAAAAGUAGGAUGGAAAGACGACCCAUGAAGAAUCCGGAGGCUGGAGGUGGGUCAAAAAGGAUCUUGCUGUGAAAACUACAAAUAGAACUACCAUAUGACCCAGCAAUCCCACUACUGGGCGUAUACCCUGAGAAAACCAUAAUUCAAAAAGAGUCAUGUACCACAAUGUUCAUUGCAGCUCUAUUUACAAUAGCCAGGAGAUGGAAACAACCUAAGUGUCCAUCAUCGGAUGAAUGGAUAAAGAAGAUGUGGCACAUAUAUACAAUGGAAUAUUACUCACCCAUAAAAAGAAACGAAAUUGAGCUAAUUGUAAUGAGGUGUAUGGACCUAGAGUCUGUCAUACAGAGUGAAGUAAGUCAGAAAGAGAAAGACAAAUAUCGUAUGCUAAACCAUAUAUAUGGAAUUUAAGAAAAAAAAAUGUCAUGAAGAACCUAGGGGUAAGACAGGAAUAGACACAGACCUACUAGAGAAUGGACUUGAGGAUAUGAGGAGGGGGAAGGGUAAGCUGUGACAAAGUGAGAGAGUGGCAUGGACAUAUAUACACUACCAAACGUAAAAUAGAUAGCUAGUGGGAAGCAGCCGCAUAGCACAGGGAGAUCAGCUCCGUGCUCUGUGACCACCCAGAGGGGUGGGAUAGGGAGGGUGGGAGGGAGGGAGAUGAAAGAGGAAAGAUAUAUAGCAACAUAUGUAUAUGUAUAACUGAUUCACUUUGCUAUACAGCAGAAACUAACACACCAUUGUAAAGCAAUUAUACUCCAAUAAAGAUGUAAAAAAAAAAACCAAAAACCUUUUGGUGUCUUUGACAAACCUCCUCAAAUCAAAUUCUAAAUGUUCUUUUGACCUCUAGUUAACUUCGGAAUGUGUCAGAGGGUCCCUGAACACCUCAAAGAGAGAUAUUAAACUAAUUAGCCUUUUUUGGUAUGUUAAAUUACAUGGGAAAUAUUGUCAAAUAAGUAAUGAUAAACCUUCUUAGAAGGUUCUAAUGUUCUAGAAAUUAUAUGAACUCCCUAAAAUUUGAAAUGUUGUGGUAUGUUCUCAGUCAUAUUUCUAGUUAUUAUUUUAAAGUGUUGUAUGUCACAGAAAUAGCCAAAUUUCCUUAACAACUGCAUUGUAAUCAGGUCUUUAACCAUGUUUUUUAAGUGUUUUGUCACUUAUAGAGUUGUCUUACUCUGAUGCUUUUACAAAAAUGUUUGUAGAUGACUUGCUUUUAUGCUCUGAAACUAAAUUUGAUUCCGUAGCAAAAGGACUUCCACCUUGUAUGGGGGCUAUUUCACUCCUACAUAAGACUAUUGAAGAAAUAGCAAUGGGGGUAUUCUUUAUUUAUGCUCCACACUCAGUUGAGUCCUUCUAAACUCUCACCACACUCAGCACUUCUGUAAACCGACUAGUUUCUUAUGAAGUAUUGUUGCUUUCUGUAAUAACCUUAAGCCUGCAACUUUGCUUCCAGAACUACAGGAAGAAGACAAUCACGACUGCAUUUAUUAACAGAUUAUCUUCUUGUUCCCAGGAAUGACAAGAAGCUCCUAUUGAUAAGGCUAACCUAAUUUGAUUUACAGAUGGGUUCUACUUAAAGGAUAAGCAGGGGCAUUAUAGAGUUGGAUAUGCAGUAACAUUCACAGUGAACAUAAGUGAAAGCUCUUAUUUACCAGAAAAAGUCAGCACAACAAGCUGAAUUAAUUGCCCUAACCUUAGCUUUUCAACUUGCUAAAGACCAGCUAGCAAAUAUUUAUACUGACAGUUGCAAUGCCUUCUGAAGUGGCACACAACUUUGGAAUGCUAUGGGAACAAUGAGGUUUUUAACUUCUUCAGGACAACUUAAAAAAUGAAAAACAGAUUGCAAUUAUUAACUGCUAUACAACUGCCAAAAAACCAGUUAGCAAUUACUGACACCAGGACAUUCCAAACUGACACUAUGGAAGCUAAAGGAAAUCAGCUUGCUGAUGCUGCAGCCAAACACGCAGCUUUAAAUACUCACGCCAUAAAGCCUUGAAAUUUUCUGUCCACUGCUCUCUGUAAACCGUGCUAAUCCAGUAAAAGAUGUCAUCUAUAAGCUCAAGAAAUUGCUACUAAAGAAGACAGACAGAUACGGUAACAAAAACGGGGAAUUUUGACCCCACCACACAAAUAUGGUUUGGACCUAAUUUUUUUUUUAAAAAAAGCUGUAAGCGUCUGUUGGAGCACGAUUGUCUAUCAGCCUUUGCCAGGCGUUCUACUAGCAUAACUCCUAAAAAGGAAAGAAAGAACUGGGGUAAUAAGGCUGAGGGACAUGAUGGAUCCAGAGCAAAUAAGCAAAGACCCUGUUAUUGGGGGAACAAAUAUUUGAUCACCUAAUGCUAUCUAAAGAUUAAUGAUCAAAAGGGGAAAGUGAAAAAGGAAAUUAUAUUUUAAGAUAGGUAAAGAAAAGUUAAGCAUAAAAUUCUCUCUUCUCUCUUCACUUGAGCCUCCUCCCUCCCUAAUGCAUCUGCAUCACAUAUUAACCAGACCUCCUCAAAGAUGGGAAUGCCUGCUGCUCCACAGCAAAGAUCAAUUUGUUCCUUUCUUCCGAUGCUAGCAAUGUGACUUCUUAAAGAUUAGCAUUCUUUCCAACUCUGUAGGUGGUCAUUGAGACUUACUGCUCAAUUCGUUUGUGUUUACCUAGACUGUGUAUCUUUGGUAGACUUUAUGUAAAACGUCAGUAUGUCAUUUUGAUGAAGGAUCCUUGGUUUCAAAAAUGUAAAUGACUGUGUCUUUGCUAACAGUAGGUCAGAGCUUCAGACAGCCUUUCUCCCACGUUAUGAUCCUCAGUUUGACUCAAAUAAAAUUGCCUUUUUUCUUCUUAA
This is a long non-coding RNA of Lagenorhynchus albirostris (white-beaked dolphin), 2938 nucleotides long. RefSeq lists it as uncharacterized. The record is from RefSeq and is a predicted model, not a curated record. Lineage: Eukaryota; Metazoa; Chordata; Mammalia; Artiodactyla; Delphinidae. The transcript has 2 exons.